Molecule: long non-coding RNA, 932 nt
Organism: Daphnia magna
Lineage: Eukaryota; Metazoa; Arthropoda; Branchiopoda; Diplostraca; Daphniidae
Exons: 2
Source: RefSeq, a predicted model, not a curated record
UUUACUUUUGUCUCAAGUUUUCUUUUUGCUUUUGAAUUUUUAUUCAUUUUUGUUACCCUUGGUGAUCUUGGGCUCGAACUUGAAUUGUGCAUCUUACACCAACAUGUCUACUACAGAGUUUAUGAAAAGACAACAAAGCGAUUUUCUUCAUCACAUGGACAAUCAAAAUUGUAACACAAGACUAGUACAGACAACAAGUUCUAUAUCAUUUUGGAAACCUUUCGCUAUGAACACUUAAGGUUGUAGAGAACUGGAGAUGACGCCGUGUAGUUUCAAAGAAUUAGCAAGGAUUUUCAUCUUUGUCACUACAUUGAGACUUGGAAAACUUGAAGUUAUGCAUGUACACCCAGGUAAACCCAUGGCGCCAGGUUUUACAAGAAAGAAAAAGUUGAGUUGGCACCAAGUGGUCACUAAACGAAUUUGAAAUGUUUUUCUCACCAACUAAGCCAAUUUUAUCCCAGGACCGCAUUUUAUUCGAGGGAUUAUUUGCCGAUAGGUUAUAGUAAGUUUACUUUGUCCUUGUCUCCGCUUUUCGUGGCGUUUGAAUCAAUAAUACCAUGUAACUUGGCAAACAAGUUGAAUAAAAAAACACAACAUUAUCAAUUAUGUUUUCCAGACUCCGACGGUAGAGAGGGGAAUAGCAAAGGUCGUUCAUGGAAUAAGUGAUAAGUUACACAGCAUUAGGGAACUCUAGAAGAAAAGCACUCGUCCAAUCUAUAGUAAUCAACAGUGUUACGAGGAUGUAUUGGCAUCCAAACGUAGCUUACGAUUCAAAGGGUAUAUGAGCAUUAUUACAUUUUCACAUUUCAGGUACAGGAAGAAGAAUUGUCUUACGCGGGCACCUGGAAGUACACACGCUUGUUAAACAUUUCAAACACUCAGGUUUUCAGCGCGAACUCAUGUACUCAAACGAACAAGGAGAAAGUGAAAGA